This 468-nucleotide ribosomal RNA is filed under the name uncultured bacterium. RNAcentral's name for it is "partial 16S ribosomal RNA". It matches the Rfam family "Bacterial small subunit ribosomal RNA", at positions 28 to 507 of the family's 1533-position model. The record is from RNAcentral.
GACGAACGCUGGCGGCGUGCUUAACACAUGCAAGUCGAACGGAAAGGCCCUGCUUUUGUGGGGUGCUCGAGUGGCGAACGGGUGAGUAACACGUGAGUAACCUGCCCUUGGCUUUGGGAUAACUUCAGGAAACUGGGGCUAAUACCGGAUAGGAGCUCCUGCUGCAUGGUGGGGGUUGGAAAGUUUCGGCGGUUGGGGAUGGACUGGCGGCUUAUCAGCUUGUUGGUGGGGUAGUGGCUUACCAAGGCUUUGACGGGUAGCCGGCCUGAGAGGGUGACCGGCCACAUUGGGCCUGAGAUACGGCCCAGACUCCUACGGGAGGCAGCAGUGGAGAGUAUUGCACAAUGGGCGGAAGCCUGAUGCAGCAACGCCGCGUGCGGGAUGACGGGCUUCGGGUUGUAAACCGCUUUCGCCUGUGACGAGGCGAGAGUGACGGUACUGGGUAAAGAAGCACCGGCUAACUACGUG